AGAGCUUCCUGUAAGCGAACCCGUGAAGGUUCCAGGAGGAUGGCGCACCCGGAAAGGGCGUGGAAGCUCCGCGCCCCUUCCCACAGACUUUCCCCCAUCCAUCUCUUCAUCUGGUGUUCAUCGAUAGCCUUUGUAAUGUCCUUAAUAGUAAACCGGAAAACAGUGGAGGAAGAAGAGAAUCACCACAUAUCGUAUUUAGAGGUCCUGCAGAAAGGGCAGAGCGAGUUUCAUGUUUGAGUGCAGCGGAUGCAUGGGCAAAGCAUUACACAGCCGCUCCAUGGAAGUGACAAUGAGCCUUGUCUUUCACACGUAACUCCAGGAACCAGGGGAAACAAAACCAAUUCCACCCAGAGGUAAAUAAAAAUCAAAGAGCGUUCGAGGCAGCCGCAUUGACUCACCUUGCAGACAAGCAAGCAGAGCCGCAGAGCAGUGACCCGUGCCCAGCGCCUCGCAGCUAGAGCUGGAUUGGAAUCCAGGGCUUUGCAGGCUUCCUGCUUCACUCAAUCCUCUUUCUGUUGCCUCUGGCCUCAAGGUGUUGGCCCCUAGAAUCACUCUCAAAUGUAAGAUCAGGGAACUCCCUCUAGACUCAAGGGUGCCUGAGAGGCCACGUGGUUUUUAGACUCUCCUGGUUCAGCUUCACCACCUGAUGCUCUUCCCUUCCACCUAGAGCUUUUCGCAGCCCACAAAAGAUGUGCUCCAUGAUUCCAAAACAGAAAGGCUUCUGGUUAGGAGAGAACACUAAGGCAGCAAAGUAAGCCCUCAAUCAAAAUCCCUCAUUCACUAGCACUCUUUAGAAGUAGAAAUCAUUGGGACGCCCAAAUGCUUCUGAAAAAGUUCUGUGGUGCAUCCAAAGAUCAUCCCAGUAGUUUGUUUGCCUUAAAAGUAUUUGUUAAAACAUAAAAACUGUAUGUCUACGUAAGUGAUUUUCAAUCCUAGCUGCAUAUUAAAAAUCCCUGAAGAGCCUUUAGAAUAGGCCAGCCUUCAG
This 985-nucleotide long non-coding RNA is filed under the name Homo sapiens (human). RNAcentral describes it as "non-protein coding lnc-NR5A2-1:14". The record is from RNAcentral. Lineage: Eukaryota; Metazoa; Chordata; Mammalia; Primates; Hominidae.